RNAcentral lists this ribosomal RNA (530 nucleotides) under uncultured bacterium. RNAcentral describes it as "bacterial SSU rRNA". It matches the Rfam family "Bacterial small subunit ribosomal RNA", at positions 980 to 1509 of the family's 1533-position model. The record is from RNAcentral.
CUUGACAUCCAGAGAAUUUAGCAGAGAUGCUUUAGUGCCUUCGGGAACUCUGAGACAGGUGCUGCAUGGCUGUCGUCAGCUCGUGUUGUGAAAUGUUGGGUUAACGUCCGCAACGAGCGCAACCCUUAUCCUUUGUUGCCAGCACGUAAUGGUGGGAACUCAAAGGAGACUGCCGGUGAUAAACCGGAGGAAGGUGGGGAUGACGUCAAGUCAUCAUGGCCCUUACGAGUAGGGCUACACACGUGCUACAAUGGCGUAUACAAAGAGAAGCGACCUCGCGAGAGCAAGCGGACCUCAUAAAGUGCGUCGUAGUCCGGAUUGGAGUCUGCAACUCGACUCCAUGAAGUCGGAAUCGCUAGUAAUCGUAAAUCAGAAUGUUACGGUGAAUACGUUCCCGGGCCUUGUACACACCGCCCGUCACACCAUGGGAGUGGGUUGCAAAAGAAGUAGAUAGCUUAACCUUCGGGAGGGCGUUUACCACUUUGUGAUUCAUGACUGGGGUGAAGUCGUAACAAGGUAGGCGUAGUGCU